Molecule: ribosomal RNA, 1386 nt
Filed under: metagenome
Description: bacterial LSU rRNA
Rfam family: Bacterial large subunit ribosomal RNA
Source: RNAcentral
UUAAUUCCGAGACACGACACCGAUCCGUUUAGGAGAAGUGAAUGAUUCCACACUACCGAGGAAAACCUAGCAGUGAGUUUACAUAGUGCCCGUACCCCAAACCAACACAGGUAGAUAGGUAGAGCGUACCAAGGUGAUCGAGAUAACUCUGGUUAAGGAACUCGGCAAAUUACAUCCGUAACUUCGGAAGAUGGAUGGCCAUUUUAUUGUUAAGAGAUUUACUCUCAAGGCAUGAAUUGGCGCCACAAACCAGGCCCAAGCGACUGUUUACCAAAAACACAGGAGCAUGCAAAGUCGUAAGACACAGUAUAUGCUCUGACGCCUGCCCAAUGCUGGAAGGUUACGAGGAUGGGUUAGCUUCGGCGAAGCUCAGAAUUUAAGCCCCAGUGAAUGGCGGCCUUAACGAUUAGGGUCCUAAGGUAGCGAAAUUCCUUGUCGGGUAAGUUCCGACCUGCACGAAUGGCGUAACGACUUGGGCACUGUCUCAACCAGAGACUCGGUGAAAUUGCAAUACGAGUUAAGAUGCUCGUUUUUCGCACUAAGACGGUAAGACCCCGUGAACCUUUACUGCAACUUGAUGUUGGGUUUUGGUAUAGAAUGUGUAGAAUAGGUGGGAGACUUGGAAAGAUCGACGUCAGUUGGUCUGGAGUCAUCCAGUGAAAUACCACCCUUUCUAUAUCGAGACCUCUAACUUACUCCCAUUAUCUGGGAGAAGGACAGCUUCAGGCGGGUUUUUGACUGGGGCGGUCGCCUCCUAAAUUGUAGCGGAGGCGCCCAAAGGUCCUCUCAGUCUGGUUGGCAAUCAGACGUUGAGUGCAAUGGCAUAAGAGGGCUUAACUGUGAGACCUACAAGUCGAGCAGAUACGAAAGUAGGGCAUAGUGACCUGGUGAUUCCUUGUGGAAGGGUCAUCAAUAAACGGAUAAAAGGUACUCCGGGGAUAACAGGCUAAUUUUGCCCAAGCGUCCAUAGCGACGGCAAAGUUUGGCACCUCGAUGUCGGCUCGUCGCAUCCUGGGGGUGGAGAAGCUCCCAAGGGUUGGGCUGUUCGCCCAUUAAAGCGGCACGCGAGCUGGGUUCAGAACGGCGUGAGCCAGUUCGGUCCCUAUCUAGUGCGAACGUAAGAGAAUUGAGAAGAGCUGCUCCCAGUACGAGAGGACCGGAGUGGACGAAGCUCUCGUGUGACAGUUGUCUCGCCAGAGGCAUGGCUGUUUAGCGACCUUCGGAUUGGAUAGCCGCUGAAAGCAUCUAAGCGGGAAGCCAACUUCAAGAUGAGUUCUCUCAUAGUGUUAAACUAAUAAGACCCCUAGGAGACUACUAGGUUGAUAGGCCAGAUGUGUAAGUACAGCAAUGUAUUUAGCUGACUGGUACUGAUAGGUCGAAGGCUUC